RNAcentral lists this transfer RNA (72 nucleotides) under Lophosquilla costata. Its description in RNAcentral is "tRNA-Asn". Lineage: Eukaryota; Metazoa; Arthropoda; Malacostraca; Stomatopoda; Squillidae. The record is from RNAcentral.
UUAACCAAAACCAAAAUAGAGGUAUAUUAUUGUUAAUAAUAGAAGUGAAAAAUUUUUCUUUUUCUGGUUAAG